UGGGGAAUCUUGCACAAUGGGGGAAACCCUGAUGCAGCGACGCCGCGUGAGCGAUGAAGGUUUUCGAAUCGUAAAGCUCUGUCCUAUGGGAAGAUAAUGACGGUACCAUAGGAGGAAGCCCCGGCUAACUACGUGCCAGCAGCCGCGGGAAUACGUAGGGGGCGAGCGUUGUCCGGAAUUACUGGGCGUAAAGGGUUCGCAGGCGGCAUGACAAGUCCGAUGUAAAAGGCGAAAGCUCAACUUUCGUAAGCAUCGGAAACUGUCAAGCUUGAGUGAAGGAGAGGCAAGUGGAAUUCCUAGUGUAGCGGUGGAAUGCGUAGAUAUUAGGAGGAAUACCGGUGGCGAAGGCGACUUGCUGGACUUCAACUGACGCUGAGGAACGAAAGCGUGGGUAGCAAACAGG
This 403-nucleotide ribosomal RNA is filed under the name bacterium. Its description in RNAcentral is "partial 16S ribosomal RNA". It matches the Rfam family "Bacterial small subunit ribosomal RNA", at positions 355 to 776 of the family's 1533-position model. The record is from RNAcentral.